UACAGAGGUCUCAAGCGUUGUUCGGAUUCAUUGGGCGUAAAGGGUGCGUAGGCGGCGCGGUAAGUCGGGUGUGAAAUCUCGGAGCUUAACUCCGAAACUGCAUUCGAUACUGCCGUGCUUGAGGACUGGAGAGGAGACUGGAAUUUACGGUGUAGCGGUGAAAUGCGUAGAUAUCUGGAGGAACACCGGUGGCGAAGGCGGCAUCCUGGACCAAUUCUGACACUGAGGAGCGAAAGCCAGGGGAGCAAACGGG
This 253-nucleotide ribosomal RNA is filed under the name uncultured bacterium. Its description in RNAcentral is "partial 16S ribosomal RNA". It matches the Rfam family "Bacterial small subunit ribosomal RNA", at positions 524 to 776 of the family's 1533-position model. The record is from RNAcentral.